UAGCUGCUAAUCCAGAACCUUUAGUUAAUUUCCCAUCUUAUUAAGGACUGUUAAAAUUGUUUUAACAAAGCCGUCCUUAUAUAUAUUAUGGUAAAUGCCUUUGUCUGAUGGUUUUCAACAGAGCACUUUGGGAAGGAGUGAAAGAAGUCCUGAGGAAAUCUGGAAGAUCUGUGGGGGAAUAGGAAAUUGAUAGGUUCGAGACUGGAAGGUUUCUUCAGUGAGAGGAAAGGAAGAUCUCAAGGACUGGGAGAGGAUUUAAAAUAAAAGGAAGUGCAUGGAAAGGAAAAUUCAGCAUCUGAAGGAGGACA
Long non-coding RNA from Mauremys mutica (yellowpond turtle), 308 nucleotides. RefSeq lists it as uncharacterized. The transcript has 3 exons. Lineage: Eukaryota; Metazoa; Chordata; Testudines; Geoemydidae. The record is from RefSeq and is a predicted model, not a curated record.